UGUAGCCUGGUGUCCAGCUUGGAAA
RNAcentral lists this non-coding RNA (25 nucleotides) under Rattus norvegicus (Norway rat). The record is from RNAcentral. Lineage: Eukaryota; Metazoa; Chordata; Mammalia; Rodentia; Muridae.